RNAcentral lists this ribosomal RNA (460 nucleotides) under uncultured bacterium. Its description in RNAcentral is "partial 16S ribosomal RNA". It matches the Rfam family "Bacterial small subunit ribosomal RNA", at positions 338 to 795 of the family's 1533-position model. The record is from RNAcentral.
CCUACGGGAGGCAGCAGUGAGGAAUAUUGGUCAAUGGGCGCGAGCCUGAACCAGCCAAGUCGCGUGAGGGAAGACGGCCCUACGGGUUGUAAACCUCUUUUGCCGGGGAGCAACGGGCGCCACGUGUGGCGCCACUGAGAGGACCCGGAGAAAAAGCAGCGGCUAACUCCGUGCCAGCAGCCGCGGUAAUACGGAGGAUGCGAGCGUUAUCCGGAUUUAGGGGGUUGAAAGGGUGCGUAGGCGGAGCGUUAAGUCAGUGGUCAACUUGAGGGGCUCAACCCCUUCCCGCCAUUGAAACUGGCGCUCUUGCGUGGACGAGAAGUAUGCGGCAUGCGUGGUGUAGCGGUGAACUGCAUAGCUAUCACGCAGACCCCCGAUUGCGACGGCAGCCUGCCGGCUUCCUACUGACGCUGACGCACGAAAGCGUGGGGCUCGAACCGGCUUAGAUACCCUAGUAGUC